RNAcentral lists this ribosomal RNA (847 nucleotides) under Acidovorax sp. RNAcentral describes it as "bacterial SSU rRNA". It matches the Rfam family "Bacterial small subunit ribosomal RNA", at positions 37 to 881 of the family's 1533-position model. The record is from RNAcentral. Lineage: Bacteria; Pseudomonadati; Pseudomonadota; Betaproteobacteria; Burkholderiales; Comamonadaceae.
UGGCGGCAUGCCUUACACAUGCAAGUCGAACGGUAACAGGUCUUCGGAUGCUGACGAGUGGCGAACGGGUGAGUAAUACAUCGGAACGUGCCCGAGAGUGGGGGAUAACGAAGCGAAAGCUUUGCUAAUACCGCAUACGAUCUCAGGAUGAAAGCAGGGGACCGCAAGGCCUUGCGCUCACGGAGCGGCCGAUGGCAGAUUAGGUAGUUGGUGGGAUAAAAGCUUACCAAGCCGACGAUCUGUAGCUGGUCUGAUAGGACUACCAGCCACACUGGGACUGAAACACGGCCCAGACUCCUACUGGAGGCAGCAGUGGGGAAUUUUGGACCAUGGCCGCAAGCCUGAUCCAACCCUGGCCGUGUGCAGUAUGAAGGAAUUCUGUUUGUAAACUGCUUUUGUACGGAAAGAACAACCUCUUGUUAGUCAUGAGAAUGCAUGACGAUACCGUAAGCAUAAUCACCCUGUAACUACUUGCCAGCAGCCGCGGUAAUACGUAGGGUGCGAGCGUUAAUCGGAAUUACUGGGCGUAAAGCGUGCGCAGGCGGUGAUGUAAGACAGAUGUGAAAUCCCCGGGCUCAACCUGGGAACUGCAUUUGUGACUGCAUCGCUGGAGUGCGGCAGAGGGGGAUGGAAUUCCGCGUGUAGCAGUGAAAUGCGUAGAUAUGCGGAGGAACACCGAUGGCGAAGGCAAUCCCCUGGGCCUGCACUGACGCUCAUGCACGAAAGCGUGGGGAGCAAACAGGAUUAGAUACCCUGGUAGUCCACGCCCUAAACGAUGUCAACUGGUUGUUGGGUCUUCACUGACUCAGUAACGAAGCUAACGCGUGAAGUUGACCGCCUGGGGAGU